Molecule: ribosomal RNA, 254 nt
Filed under: uncultured bacterium
Lineage: Bacteria
Description: partial 16S ribosomal RNA
Rfam family: Bacterial small subunit ribosomal RNA
Source: RNAcentral
UACGGAGGGUGCGAGCGUUGUUCGGAAUUAUUGGGCGUAAAGCGCACGUAGGCGGCUCUUUAAGUCUUACUGUGAAAGCCCGCGGCUCAACCGCGGGACGGCAGGGGAUACUGGAGGGCUGGAGACAGGUAGAGGCGAGCGGAAUUCCGGGUGUAGCGGUGGAAUGCGUAGAGAUCCGGAAGAACACCAGAGGCGAAGGCGGCUCGCUGGACCUGGUCUGACGCUGAGGUGCGAAAGCGUGGGGAGCGAACAGG